GGAUGUAUGAGACAUGAGCUGGUCAGAGGGAUGAAAACCCCAGAACAUUGAGCUUUGAGUCCACGGUCUUCAUCACCAGACCCCUCGUCGAGGUGGGGGGGCUGUUGCCUUGUUAUUAAACUUCAGAUCCAAGAGAAUGAAGCCAGAUUAACUCUGCCCCCGUGCUUCCACGGCUGCAACUCGGAGGGCAUUACGCUGUGACGACUUUGUCGAUAGCUCUUGUGUUUGGAGGUUUAAUUAAAACCGUGCACCCUCCAAGAUAUCUUCCACCCCAAAAAAAAAGUUGCCAUCGAAUGACAUGCCAGAUAUUUGAUCACUCGGAGUGAUUUGUUUCCUCACACUUUUCUGUGGCUCUUGGUGUUCGAGAGGAGCAUGCAGCCAGACUCAGAUCUCAUCUUCCA
Molecule: long non-coding RNA, 401 nt
Organism: Gasterosteus aculeatus aculeatus (three-spined stickleback)
Lineage: Eukaryota; Metazoa; Chordata; Actinopteri; Perciformes; Gasterosteidae
Source: Ensembl